Long non-coding RNA from Sebastes umbrosus (honeycomb rockfish), 1008 nucleotides. RefSeq lists it as uncharacterized. The transcript is spliced from 8 exons. The record is from RefSeq and is a predicted model, not a curated record. Lineage: Eukaryota; Metazoa; Chordata; Actinopteri; Perciformes; Sebastidae.
GUGAGAUACCAUCUGGCACUGCGCCAGACCCGGAAGUGGUCUGUGUGCAUCCCGACCACAGCAACACGUGGUUGUGAUAAGGAGAUAAAUGCAGCCUGAGCUUCAUUAACAGCCUCUCUUCUCUUCCUGGUUGCGGUGAUGGAGGUCGGACACGCUGCGGGGGAGAGAAGACAAGCCCCACCGUGUUAUCAGACUUCACUGACGGAUUUAAGAGCCUGGACUGGAUGCAUCUUGACGAGGAUUUAAGAACCUGGACUGGAUGCAUCUUGAUGAGGUAAUGGGAACACUGCAUGUACAGAGUCCACUGCUGGAUCACCCCGGUUUGGUAUUUUGAAGUUUAAAAGGAGUAAGCUGGAUGUAAUUUAGUGUUCAGUUGGAGGGCAAUUUGAAUCCCUUUGAGUAUAAUUUGCUGCCUGAAAUUGUGGAAUGUCUUUAUAAUCUAUUCACAUGUAACAUCCACAUCCUCUCUUAAAAUAGUCUUGUGAUACUGUAUGUAUAAACACUGAAAUUCACUGGUAAAUAAAGCUAAAUGUGUUAAACUGUGUAUUGUAUAAUCAAUUUUGCCUCAUCAUGGAUAGGUUAUAAAUUGUAGUACAGAAUAUGCAAGAGUUCAUCAGUAGUUGGAUGUUUGCUACUAUUAACAGUCCUUCAAGUAAGUUGUGAUUGCACCAAUUCAUGCAAAUUCAACCAAUUCCCAGUGAAUUUUCCGCAACAUUGGAAUUUUGUCCAGUCACCGCAAAUUUGACCAAUCAUGGCAGGCUGACAUUUAUUCUCACUGGAGCAAGUUGCCUUUGAUUUUUAAUGAAUUGUACAAAAAUAAAUCUCAACUAUUUUUUAAAAUUCACUUGCGCUUGCAAUUUUAUUGCAAAAAAACUCCUAAAACAUUGCAAUUAUCUUUAUAGAAAAGCUGCUGUGAAAUCAGACAUUUUAGGCCACAACAAUCCCCCCCCAAAAAAGCUGGUGAAAUCCUGGAGGGUCUGUAUUAAAGUUUUUCUCAAUUGUUUACAG